UUAGCAAUAAGGGAGUGGCGGACGGGUGAGUAACACGUGGGUCAUCUACCCUUAGGUGAGGAAUACCGGCGAGAAAUCGCCGACAAUACCGCAUAUGCUCGUAAGAGCAAAGCCCGCAAGGGCGCCUGAGGAUGAGCCUGCGCUCGAUUAGUUGGUUGGUGGGGUAAUGGCCUACCAAGACUGCGAUCGAUAGCUGGUCUGAGAGGACGAUCAGCCACACUGGGAUUGAGAACGGCCCAGACUCCUACGGGGGGCAGCAGUGAGGAAUUUUCGUCAAUGGGGGCAACCCUGAACGAGCAACGCCGCGUGCAGGAAGAAGGUUUUCGGA
This 328-nucleotide ribosomal RNA is filed under the name uncultured bacterium. RNAcentral's name for it is "bacterial SSU rRNA". It matches the Rfam family "Bacterial small subunit ribosomal RNA", at positions 81 to 422 of the family's 1533-position model. The record is from RNAcentral.